GACGGCCCACGCCUCGUGCACGGCGGCCUCUGCACACAUGUGCUGGGCUGACAAGUGCGGAGCGGCCCUUCCUGGAUCCAAAGCGAAAUUCCGUCGGAACUUCUUUCGGGCCGAGCGGAGAGGCCCAGCCUGGGACCCGGGCACACCCUCCCCUGGCGGCCGCGCCCCCCGCGUCUCGGCCCGAAGCGGCCACCGAACCCGGGGACCCGCAGCCCGCCGGGCCCAGCGCCUCACCUCCUCCUCGCUCUCGCUACGGAAACACAGGCACGCGGCCCGCUUCUUGUAGCCGUCGCCGUCAUAGGUGCGGGUCUGGUUCGACUUGAGCUUCAUCAUCCUCCGGGCCCGGGUAGGGGUGCCGUGUGGGUCGCGGGAGUCGAAGGUGGGGAGCCCGCUCCGGACGGCCGCGCGCGCGCGCGCCCCCGGCUCGACCAAGGGAAGCAGGGAGGGGGAGCCGCUUCUCCGCUACACGGCUCAGCCGCUGGCCCGCCGCGGCCGCCUCAUUCCCCCCGGCCCAGGCUCCGCGCCGCCGCCGCCGUCACGGCUGCUGUCGCCGCCGCCGCCGCCACGGCCGCCGCCCCCUCUGCCGCCGCCACUCCCGACGACGACCGCGCCGCCAUGUUGGGCGCGCUGCGUCAGCGGCGUAAGGCCCCGCCAGCCUGCAGCACGGCCGCGCGCUCGCAACGCAGGCCACGUUCGGGAAUCGCGCCCUCCCAGUCCGCGCGGCGUAAACGAGCGUCUGGAAGGGGAAAGCCGCGCGACUAAAGGCGGCUGAAACGCCAGUAGCGUAGGGGUGGGGACCUUGGGGCGCGCGGGAGGAAGCCCAGGGAGAAAGGGGUGCGGUUGCAGGGUUGACCCGCUCGGCAGAGGAAGGGUAAGCGAGGAUUUGCCUAAAGUCGCGCCACGAGUGCGCAGCCGAAGACAAACCAAGGUCAGGCCGCCCGGGCCUUGACCCUGCGCGUUCAUCUGAGAGGGGAGAAAGGGGGAAGAUCUGGAGUGAAGGAGGAGGAUAUACUGCGGAUGUCAAACAGACUCUCCAGGGAAAGAUACACAGCCAGAUGCUCUCCAGCAGGGAAAAAUGGGACCUGUGAAUGUUCUCAGCAGCCCAGACCAAACCUAGUACCAUGACAACUCCCUGAACGUGCUGAAAAUCCUAUGCAUGAUUUGUCUGUGAAUUACUUAUUACCCGUUUUGAAUUUGCUUGUAUUUAGCAUCGUCAAAAAAGAUCAGGAUUUGGAACCAAACAAACCUAGGCUGGAAUCUCAUUUUAUAUCAUUUAUUUACCCCUGUAAAAUAGAAAUAAUAAACGCAUUUUGGCACCUGGCACAUAGUAGUCACUCAAUACAUUGUAAGUACAGGCACGUACUUCACUUUUUUGCACUUUGCAGGCAUUGUGUUUUUUACAAAUUGAAGGUCUGUGGCAACCUUGCAUUGAGCAACAUUCUUCCAACACCAUUUUCCCACGUAUUUGCUUAGUUCAUGUCUCUCUGUCACAUUUUGGUAAUUAUCACAAUAUUUCAAACUUUUUAAUUAUUACCUUUUGUUAUGGUUACCUAUGAUCAGUGAUCUUUGAUGUUACUCACUUCAACUUACUGAAGGCUCAGAUGAUGGUUGGCAUUCUUUAGCAAUA
Camelus dromedarius (Arabian camel) is the source of this 1627-nucleotide long non-coding RNA. RefSeq lists it as uncharacterized. The transcript is spliced from 3 exons. The record is from RefSeq and is a predicted model, not a curated record. NCBI's taxonomy places the organism in Eukaryota, Metazoa, Chordata, Mammalia, Artiodactyla, Camelidae.